Molecule: ribosomal RNA, 1361 nt
Filed under: Pediococcus acidilactici
Lineage: Bacteria; Bacillati; Bacillota; Bacilli; Lactobacillales; Lactobacillaceae
Description: 16S ribosomal RNA
Rfam family: Bacterial small subunit ribosomal RNA
Source: RNAcentral
GAGUGGCGGACGGGUGAGUAACACGUGGGUAACCUGCCCAGAAGCAGGGGAUAACACCUGGAAACAGAUGCUAAUACCGUAUAACAGAGAAAACCGCCUGGUUUUCUUUUAAAAGAUGGCUCUGCUAUCACUUCUGGAUGGACCCGCGGCGCAUUAGCUAGUUGGUGAGGUAACGGCUCACCAAGGCGAUGAUGCGUAGCCGACCUGAGAGGGUAAUCGGCCACAUUGGGACUGAGACACGGCCCAGACUCCUACGGGAGGCAGCAGUAGGGAAUCUUCCACAAUGGACGCAAGUCUGAUGGAGCAACGCCGCGUGAGUGAAGAAGGGUUUCGGCUCGUAAAGCUCUGUUGUUAAAGAAGAACGUGGGUGAGAGUAACUGUUCACCCAGUGACGGUAUUUAACCAGAAAGCCACGGCUAACUACGUGCCAGCAGCCGCGGUAAUACGUAGGUGGCAAGCGUUAUCCGGAUUUAUUGGGCGUAAAGCGAGCGCAGGCGGUCUUUUAAGUCUAAUGUGAAAGCCUUCGGCUCAACCGAAGAAGUGCAUUGGAAACUGGGAGACUUGAGUGCAGAAGAGGAUAGUGGAACUCCAUGUGUAGCGGUGAAAUGCGUAGAUAUAUGGAAGAACACCAGUGGCGAAGGCGGCUGUCUGGUCUGUAACUGACGCUGAGGCUCGAAAGCAUGGGUAGCGAACAGGAUUAGAUACCCUGGUAGUCCAUGCCGUAAACGAUGAUUACUAAGUGUUGGAGGGUUUCCGCCCUUCAGUGCUGCAGCUAACGCAUUAAGUAAUCCGCCUGGGGAGUACGACCGCAAGGUUGAAACUCAAAAGAAUUGACGGGGGCCCGCACAAGCGGUGGAGCAUGUGGUUUAAUUCGAAGCUACGCGAAGAACCUUACCAGGUCUUGACAUCUUCUGCCAACCUAAGAGAUUAGGCGUUCCCUUCGGGGACAGAAUGACAGGUGGUGCAUGGUUGUCGUCAGCUCGUGUCGUGAGAUGUUGGGUUAAGUCCCGCAACGAGCGCAACCCUUAUUACUAGUUGCCAGCAUUCAGUUGGGCACUCUAGUGAGACUGCCGGUGACAAACCGGAGGAAGGUGGGGACGACGUCAAAUCAUCAUGCCCCUUAUGACCUGGGCUACACACGUGCUACAAUGGAUGGUACAACGAGUUGCGAAACCGCGAGGUUUAGCUAAUCUCUUAAAACCAUUCUCAGUUCGGACUGUAGGCUGCAACUCGCCUACACGAAGUCGGAAUCGCUAGUAAUCGCGGAUCAGCAUGCCGCGGUGAAUACGUUCCCGGGCCUUGUACACACCGCCCGUCACACCAUGAGAGUUUGUAACACCCAAAGCCGGUGGGGUAACCUU